Molecule: long non-coding RNA, 423 nt
Organism: Cloeon dipterum
Lineage: Eukaryota; Metazoa; Arthropoda; Insecta; Ephemeroptera; Baetidae
Exons: 3
Source: RefSeq, a predicted model, not a curated record
GGCGAUUUCUGGGUGUCCGGCACGGUUUCCGGCUGCACGUCUAACUUCAGGUGGUGCUCCUUGAACCGGGAAUUCGUUGAACCUGAGAUCAGGUGGAAGGCUGGACACCCAAUGGCAGGCCUGGACUGCGUUUACCUCGAGGUUCGAAACGGAUCCAUGCUGCUGGCCACCGCGAACUGCGCUGAAAACAAAACUUUCCUUUGCGAUGUGCGGAAAAACUCGACCACCCAAAAGGGAAUGCAGGCUGAGUGUGCCGACCUUUGGAACAUCACCCCAGAACAAAUCGACUUGCUUCUGAAUAUCAGCGUCUUUUUGACGACAACCAUUUCGCUCGAUUUAAAAUGCUUCUUGAAAUGUAUUGGUGUUGAAAUCGGAAUGGUAACUAACUCUUUAAACACUGAUUUUUGAUGAUUUCGUUCUGCU